Oreochromis niloticus (Nile tilapia) is the source of this 2104-nucleotide long non-coding RNA. RefSeq lists it as uncharacterized. The record is from RefSeq and is a predicted model, not a curated record. The transcript is spliced from 4 exons. NCBI's taxonomy places the organism in Eukaryota, Metazoa, Chordata, Actinopteri, Cichliformes, Cichlidae.
UACCGAUCUCAUUCAUUUCACUCUCUUUUCCUGACCCUUUGAUACCGAUAGUGAAUGCAUAUUGUGUGAUAGAGAGAGCAUAUCUUAAUUGGCUGCCGUGUUAUCUGCUCUGGUUGAUAAGCUUCUUUGUCUUGUCCAUCGUUAGAUGGCCAGCGCCGAUGGAGUGAGGAGGCAUUAUUGAGGAUCACGUCAUCCAAACACUUGCUCGCAUUUCAUCCCAGUCAUUUGGAAAUGACUGAGCAGUGGAAAAAUCAAGUAAAGAUCACUAUGUGUGGGAAUGCAGCGGCAGUGAAGAUGAGGCACAGAACAGAACAUCCCAUGCACAUCUUUGUAUGAAUGGCUGCCUAUAGUGUUUUCUGACGUGCAAAUCAUAAAAUCCUGGAUUAAAGGGAAUUCGUGUUAGAGGCUUCCUGGAAAACAUAUAUCAGAGCCGGUGUCAGCCAGAACCAACAGUGCCUGUUUGCCCGUCUGGACCAACUUGGACCGACGCCCAGGUCAAAGGUCAAACAACCAGUCGGCUCCACACAUUCAAUUUCUCUCUCUCCUUCUCAUCAUAAUCCUUCUGAGAUUUCCUUUUUGUAGAGUUUCUUUUGCUUGUCUUGUUCCAAUUUCAAACUCAGAAAUUGCUAAAAGAAAAAUGAAGCUUGGGUGGUGACGAAGAUCAGUGUCUGAAUUGUUAAAGGGGCAAUUCAGUCACACAAAAUGAUCUACGUCGCAAAUACUGUCAAGCAAAGACUCAAAGAUAACGACAAAUGAGCGAACCUGUUCUGUGAUGCCCACAUUUGAUGCAUAGAGGCCCCACAGCAUGCCAGCACUCUGUUGCCAGACACCACAGGAAACCCUGUGUCUAGGCCAGAGUUUAAUCAAGUGAAUCAUUUAAGAAACUACUAAAGGAAAUUGUUUCAUUUUAAAUAGACCUUUCAGGUUAAUCUCUGUAACCUGAUCAAAUGUUGUGUACCUGACCUGCUAUAGUUCUACACCAGAGAUAUCAAAAUCUAUGCACUCCAGCGGACUGGAUUGGAGGGGCUGAUUCUGGCCUCUGGGCCUUACACCCUGUUCUUCUGGAAGUAGAGAUUAACCCCCAAACUUCUUUCACUUGUGUUCGGAAGUAUCCUGCAUCAGGCCACAAUCCCCUAUAGGAAACAGCUAUGGCUCAUCAGCUAACACCUGGCUGUGCUAGCAUGUCAUAUCAUGAGUAAUUGUAUAAUGCUAAUCUCUCUCAGAUCAGCAAAUCCAGGCUGACCCUGGUAUAACCCAAUGACCCGGCCAGGGAACCUCACACAGGAUCAGACCGUGAACUUAUCUCCUCCAAAAACCAAUCCCCACUCUUACUUUUGCUUAGAGGUAGACAGGAGAGAAAGGUUCAAAGGAUGUACGGAUAUGACCAGAUCCCUUAAGUGUGAAAAUUGGUUUUAUAUUAUUAGGAAGUGGCACCUUGAUUGAACUCUCACACCCCCCAAAAAUGGGAAGUGUGAACAAAAGGGUCACAUAAUGAUAUAAUGAAUGAUAACUGAGGUUAAACAAAAUAUCUAUAACAACUAUAAUUGCACCACCAAGUCUCAGAAUGGAGUUUAUAAAUGAAGAAUUCCAAAAUCUUUAACUGGCAUCUGUCUUGGCCUAUUUUUGGAUCUCCAGAAUGUGAGAGCCCCUACUGUCUUUUCUCUCUUUCUCCUUACCUCACCUCAUCGCCUUCCUCGUUUUUUCUCUCUGUCAUCUGUCAGGCAGCUCAGUUCUUGGCAUUCUCACCACCUGCUCAGGACCCGCUGGAUUUCUCUCCUGCAAAAGAGCUUUGCACUGUGCCACAGCUUUCAUCUGCCAGCCUAUUUCUCUUUCUUUCCCUUUAGCCCACUCCUCUUCUUUUCCUCCCACACUCGUUCUCGGUUCUGAUCUCUGCAUCUCCAUCUAUUUUUUGUGUCGCUGAAAUCAUCUCUGUCUAUUUUGUCUUUAAAAACCCUCUAGUCCGUCGUCAAUUCAUCUGCCGCCUGCAGUCUUUAAACACGUUAGACUAUGUGAUGCUUGCUUAGAAAAAAACGAGCCCAAUUCUCACCGUGCAUCAGGUGUUUAUUCUGAACAGAAAAUGAUGUAUUUUAUCAUUUAUCUUACC